AUGCCCAGGGCUACACACGUGCUACAAUGGGCGGUACAAAGGGUAGCGAUGCCGGCGAGGUGAAAGCCAAAUCCCAAAAAGCCGUCCACAGUUCGGAUUGGAGUCUGCAACUCGACUCCAUGAAGCCGGAAUCGCUAGUAAUCGUGGAUCAGCAUGCCACGGUGAAUACGUUCCCGGGCCUU
This 182-nucleotide ribosomal RNA is filed under the name uncultured Desulfobacterium sp. Its description in RNAcentral is "partial 16S ribosomal RNA". It matches the Rfam family "Bacterial small subunit ribosomal RNA", at positions 1204 to 1382 of the family's 1533-position model. Lineage: Bacteria; Pseudomonadati; Thermodesulfobacteriota; Desulfobacteria; Desulfobacterales; Desulfobacteriaceae. The record is from RNAcentral.